UACGUAGGUGGCAAGCGUUGUCCGGAAUUAUUGGGCGUAAAGGGCGCGUAGGCGGUGCCACAAGUCACCUGUGAAAUCUCCGGGCUUAACUCGGAGCCUGCAGGCGAAACUGUGGUGCUGGAGUGUGGGAGAGGUGCGUGGAAUUCCCGGUGUAGUGGUGGAAUGCGUAGAUAUCGGGAGGAACACCAGUGGCGAAGGCGGCUUCCUGGACCUGUUCUGACGCUGAGGAGCGAAAGCGUGGGGAGCGAUCCGG
RNAcentral lists this ribosomal RNA (253 nucleotides) under uncultured bacterium. RNAcentral describes it as "partial 16S ribosomal RNA". It matches the Rfam family "Bacterial small subunit ribosomal RNA", at positions 524 to 776 of the family's 1533-position model. The record is from RNAcentral.